Long non-coding RNA from Manis javanica (Malayan pangolin), 405 nucleotides. RefSeq lists it as uncharacterized. NCBI's taxonomy places the organism in Eukaryota, Metazoa, Chordata, Mammalia, Pholidota, Manidae. The record is from RefSeq and is a predicted model, not a curated record.
CUGGGAAGCAGGGAGGAGAGAUGGAUAGAGCAGGAGGCCCAGGAAGCAGGCCCGGCUGGAUGAAAGAUGGGGAGAAAGAGUUCUAUGACCUCAAGCAAUUGGAGAAACCGAACCUCGGUGUUGUCAUAACCGAAACUGGGGUUGCCGUUGCUUCUGGACAGAAACGAUGUGAAGCUGAACUGACAGAUUGUGUCUCCAGGACCCAGCACAGCCCCCAACCCACGGCAGCAGGCCCUGGUGGCAGACUGGUGACAGCACCGAGCACCUCACUGAGGCUGUUGGGAGGGCCUCAGUGGUGGGGGACCCAUGGCGUCUGCUGUGACGGCAGUUGACUCAUCAAGUGAGGACAAGUGUCUCUGCCCACUCCUCUUCAUGUUUAUGGAGUGCCUACUGUAUACCCGGCCC